UACGAAGGGGGCGAGCGUUGUUCGGAUUUACUGGGCGUAAAGGGCGCGCAGGCGGCUCUGAAAGUCAGAUGUGAAAGCCCCGGGCUUAACCUGGGAAUUGCAUUUGAUACUCUGGAGCUUGAGUACGGGAGAGGAGAGUGGAAUUCCCAGUGUAGAGGUGAAAUUCGUAGAUAUUGGGAAGAACACCGGUGGCGAAGGCGGCUCUCUGGACCGUAACUGACGCUGAGGCGCGAAAGCGUGGGGAGCAGACAGG
RNAcentral lists this ribosomal RNA (253 nucleotides) under uncultured bacterium. RNAcentral describes it as "partial 16S ribosomal RNA". It matches the Rfam family "Bacterial small subunit ribosomal RNA", at positions 524 to 776 of the family's 1533-position model. The record is from RNAcentral.